This 253-nucleotide ribosomal RNA is filed under the name uncultured bacterium. RNAcentral describes it as "partial 16S ribosomal RNA". It matches the Rfam family "Bacterial small subunit ribosomal RNA", at positions 524 to 776 of the family's 1533-position model. The record is from RNAcentral.
UACGUAGGGUGCGAGCGUUAAUCGGAAUUACUGGGCGUAAAGCGUGCGCAGGCGGUUCGCCAAGUCAGGUGUGAAAUCCCCGGGCUUAACCUGGGAAUUGCGCUUGAAACUAGCGGGCUUGAGUGUGGCAGAGGGGGGUGGAAUUCCACGUGUAGCAGUGAAAUGCGUAGAGAUGUGGAGGAACACCGAUGGCGAAGGCAGCCCCCUGGGCUGAGAUUGACGCUCAGGCACGAAAGCGUGGGGAGCAAACAGG